UGGGGAAUAUUGGACAAUGGGCGAAAGCCUGAUCCAGCCAUGCCGCGUGUGUGAAGAAGGUCUUCGGAUUGUAAAGCACUUUAAGUUGGGAGGAAGGGCAGUAAGCGAAUACCUUGCUGUUUUGACGUUACCGACAGAAUAAGCACCGGCUAACUCUGUGCCAGCAGCCGCGGUAAUACAGAGGUUGCAAGCGUUAAUCGGAAUUACUGGGCGUAAAGCGCGCGUAGGUGGUUCGUUAAGUUGAAUGUGAAAGCCCCGGGCUCAACCUGGGAACUGCAUCCAAAACUGGCGAGCUAGAGUAGGGCAGAGGGUGGUGGAAUUUCCUGUGUAGCGGUGAAAUGCGUAGAUAUAGGAAGGAACACCAGUGGCGAAGGCGACCACCUGGGCUCAUACUGACACUGAGGUGCGAAAGCGUGGGGAGCAAACAGG
RNAcentral lists this ribosomal RNA (429 nucleotides) under Pseudomonadota bacterium. RNAcentral describes it as "Proteobacteria bacterium partial 16S ribosomal RNA". It matches the Rfam family "Bacterial small subunit ribosomal RNA", at positions 355 to 776 of the family's 1533-position model. The record is from RNAcentral. Lineage: Bacteria; Pseudomonadati; Pseudomonadota.